GGUUCUCGUCCGACUAUCGAAGUUAAACAACGUCAAACCUGGUUAGUACCUGAAUGGGUGACCGCUUGGGAAUACCAAGUGCUGUAA
Molecule: non-coding RNA, 87 nt
Organism: Acanthosepion pharaonis
Lineage: Eukaryota; Metazoa; Mollusca; Cephalopoda; Sepiida; Sepiidae
Source: the annotation of a GenBank genome assembly